Molecule: ribosomal RNA, 454 nt
Filed under: uncultured Methanosaeta sp.
Lineage: Archaea; Methanobacteriati; Methanobacteriota; Methanomicrobia; Methanotrichales; Methanotrichaceae
Description: bacterial SSU rRNA
Rfam family: Archaeal small subunit ribosomal RNA
Source: RNAcentral
CGGGUGGAGCUUGCGGUUUAAUUGGAUUCAACGCCGGAAAUCUUACCGGGACCGACAGCAAUAUGAAGGCCAGGCUGAAGACUUUGCCGGAUUAGCUGAGAGGUGGUGCAUGGCCGUCGUCAGUUCGUACUGUGAAGCAUCCUGUUAAGUCAGGCAACGAGCGAGACCCACGCCCACAGUUGCCAGCGUACUCUCUGGAGUGACGGGUACACUGUGGGGACCGCCGCUGCUAAAGCGGAGGAAGGAAUGGGCAACGGUAGGUCAGUAUGCCCCGAAUAUCCCGGGCUACACGCGAGCUACAAUGGUUGGUACAAUGGGUAUCUACCCCGAAAGGGGACGGGAAUCUCCUAAAACCAAUCUUAGUUCGGAUUGGAGUCUGCAACUCGACUCCAUGAAGCUGGAAUCGCUAGUAAUCGCGGAUCAGCAUGCCGCGGUGAAUACGUUCCCGGGCCUU